Molecule: unclassified non-coding RNA, 163 nt
Filed under: uncultured Tremellales
Lineage: Eukaryota; Fungi; Basidiomycota; Tremellomycetes; Tremellales
Description: sequence contains ITS2
Source: RNAcentral
AAACAUCAUCCCAUCGGGUUUCCGAUGACGAUGGAUCUGGGUGUUGCCGUCUACCGGCUCGCCUCAAAAGAGUUAGCGGUUCCACGAGUCGAAUCUGGCGUAAUAAGUUUCGCUGGCCGAGAUCCGGAGGAUUGCUCAUAACCCGUCUUCUGACAACUUUUUG